AAGGCUGGCAUCACCUCUAAGUUGCUAAUUCUAUUUCCAGUAAAUGGCAAGGAGCUUAAUGUACUAAUAUUUUCAUGUAUUUGUCUACCUGCAGGAAGACAAAUAUAUCUUUGUGAUAUAUGCAGCAUCAAAAAUAACGUACACUUUACUAGUUAUAUCUUUAAUUUUUCUCUAACCAGGGGUACGUCAGCUUGAAAUUAUGUGCUGCUUUGGCUGCAUGUCAGUUCUUGCCAACUACUUCGUGUUCAUGACUUUCUUCCCAGCUUGUGUGUCCUUGGUAUUAGAGCUUUCUCGGGAAAGCCGCGAGGGUCGUCCAAUUUGGCAGCUCAGCCAUUUUGCCCGAGUUUUAGAAGAAGAAGAAAAUAAGCCAAAUCCUGUAACUCAGAGGGUCAAGAUGAUUAUGUCUCUAGGCUUGGUUCUUGUUCAUGCUCACAGUCGCUGGAUAGCUGAUCCUUCUCCUCAAAACAGUACAGCAGAUACUUCUAAGGUUUCAUUAGGACUGGAUGAAAAUGUAUCCAAGAGAAUUGAACCAAGUGUUUCCCUCUGGCAGUUUUAUCUCUCUAAAAUGAUCAGCAUGGAUAUUGAACAAGUUAUUACCCUAAGUUUAGCUCUCCUUCUGGCUGUCAAGUACAUCUUCUUUGAACAAACAGAGACAGAAUCUACACUCUCAUUAAAAAACCCUAUCACAUCUCCUGUAGUGACACAAAAGAAAGUCCCAGACGAUUGUUGUAGACGUGAACCUAUGCUGGUCAGAAAUAACCAGAAAUGUGAUUCAGUAGAGGAAGAGACAGGGAUAAACCGAGAAAGAAAAGGUAACUUGUUAUUCUCUUCACUUUCAAUCCUUCAUUGCUUUGUCAAAAAGUAGUCUGUUUUCAAAAUUAUGUGCUGUGUUGUGAGAUUUCUUUUGAUCUCUUGAACAGUUGAGGUUAUAAAACCCUUAGUGGCUGAAACAGAUACCCCAAACAGAGCUACAUUUGUGGUUGGUAACUCCUCCUUACUCGAUACUUCAUCAGUACUGGUGACACAGGAACCUGAAAUUGAACUUCCCAGGGAACCUCGGCCUAACGAAGAAUGUCUACAGAUACUUGGGAAUGCAGAGGUGAGGAU
Molecule: small RNA, 1107 nt
Filed under: Pongo abelii (Sumatran orangutan)
Lineage: Eukaryota; Metazoa; Chordata; Mammalia; Primates; Hominidae
Description: retained intron
Source: RNAcentral